UAAGUCUCACUUUCCUCAAUACAUCAAUGAAAACUUCUUCCUCCUCUCUCUAUCAUCUGAAAUUAAUGUUGUUCAUCCAUGGAAAUGGUUAAUCUUCACAUGGUAUCACAGCAGGGAUUAUGAUUCCGCUUGUCACGGACUUCGUUGCGAUGUUACCCUCACCGUUUUUCGUCAAAGCUUCUGUCUUCUCCGACAAAUCUAGGUUUUUCUCUUUUUCUCAGUUUUUCUCUGGAUAUUCUUCGGUGAUUGUUGGUUUUUUUUGAGUUUUCUGAGUUUCAUACUUUCUCUCGUCAGUCCAAACAUAGGAGUCAGUCGAUUCCUGAAGUUUUUUUUACCUAGGAGCACUUAGGGUUUCUUAAUCUUAAAAAUUUCAAGCCCAAAAUUCUUUCUCAGUCAAAAUGGUUAAUGUUGGUGAUACAUCUGAGUCUAGGACUGAUAACUUUGUAAUUGACCCCUCGAACCCUUUGUUU
RNAcentral lists this long non-coding RNA (470 nucleotides) under Nicotiana benthamiana. RNAcentral's name for it is "long non-coding RNA (NBEN_LNC036300)". The record is from RNAcentral. Lineage: Eukaryota; Viridiplantae; Streptophyta; Magnoliopsida; Solanales; Solanaceae.